Oryzias melastigma (Indian medaka) is the source of this 1311-nucleotide long non-coding RNA. RefSeq lists it as uncharacterized. NCBI's taxonomy places the organism in Eukaryota, Metazoa, Chordata, Actinopteri, Beloniformes, Adrianichthyidae. The record is from RefSeq and is a predicted model, not a curated record. The transcript is spliced from 4 exons.
CUGCACUCAAAGGCAACAGCCAAUCGGAUGUCUUCUAUAAAUACCGGGCUCCGUCUCCAGACCAAUCCGGAGCUCGCUUUCAUAAAAAAGCUUGUGUUUGAGCACACGUGGCGGCAAUUCUUCUAGACCCCCGCCUCUCCCCUUUCCCCUGUAUUUCUGCAGCCACAGACAAAAUGGCCAGAGUGUAAAGUUCAUAUAUCCACGGUAGAGUCUUCCGGAUCUUAAAUCCUGCCUGUUUUCCAGCACCUUCUGGCCUCCUGUCUGCUGAUUAGCCGGAUCAGCUUGUUUCAGAACCUUCCUCCAACUCCUCUGAGGGGACCCAGAGGCGUUUCCAAUCCUGCCAAGCAUGUCCUUGGUCUUCCCCAGGGUCUCUACUGGAUUGGACAUGACUGGAACACCCCCUCUGGGAGUCAUCCACCUCACCUGGCUCCUCUAAAGUGGAGAAGCUUUACUUAUCUCUUUCUGGGUGACUGAGCUGCUCACCAUUUCUAUGAGGAGGUACUAAAGAAGAAGGUCAAUCACCAUCAUCUAAAACAACGAAUGCAAAAGAAGAGGAGGUGUGGGAAAUGCCCAUUAGGAUGAAGCCACCACUAAAUCAACGACCCUCCUCAUAGCAGGCGAUGGGAUGCCCUUAUGAACUACAGAAAGGUCAAGGUUUCAAGAACUGACGAGAACAUUCAUCUCCCUUCAUUGUGUUCAGGGCUGGCAGGUCGGGGAGGGCCCCUCUACCUGUCACGGGGCAGGAUUUAGGGUCCGGGUCUGGACAGGUGAACUGAUUGCUCCCAAACAAACCCCCACAGUUCAUGUGGUUUCUCAUGACAUGAGUGUUUAGGAAUUCCGGCUUUGAAGAGUACAUUGGAGCCAAUCGUAGACACUUGUUUCCAAUUUACUCUGAAUUUUAGUUAACUUUAGUUAUUGUUGUACUUUGAUUGAUCUGUACAAUUUUAGGGAGUAAAAACGGGUGACCUGAAGAAGAAAAACGUCUAAACUGAGCAAACAAAUGGAGGACAUACAGAAAGAGUUGAAAGACUAAAGAGAACUCUGAAGAGCCUACAGGUGUAGCUUCUGGUUUUCAUAAACUUCAGCUUCCAUUCCUCAUUUUUUACUAUCGUGAAAUCCCUGCUGUUUUCUAUUAAGUCUUUCAUCCUGUGAUUUUUCUUCUACUUUGUUUUCAAGCAUAUAUGCUUUCAUUUUAUAAAAUGAAACUUCAAAUUAUUAGAACCUUUUUCAAAGGUGGCAUUCUGUAAUGUUUUGGUCAAAGGUUAUGAUUUUACUUCAGUCUUUGUCGUGUUAAGGCGUAACUAAACACUA